AGUGAACGCUGGCGGUAGGCCUAACACAUGCAAGUCGAACGGCAGCACAGUAAGAGCUUGCUCUUACGGGUGGCGAGUGGCGGACGGGUGAGGAAUACAUCGGAAUCUACUUUUUCGUGGGGGCUAACGUAGGGAAACUUACGCUAAUACCGCAUACGACCUACGGGUGAAAGCAGGGGAUCUUCUGACCUUGCGCGAUUGAAUGAGCCGAUGUCGGCUUAGCUAGUUGGCGGGGUAAAGGCCCACCAAGGCGACGAUCCGUAGCUGGUCUGAGAGGAUGAUCAGCCACACUGGAAGUGAGACACGGUCCAGACUCCUACGGGAGGCAGCAGUGGGGAAUAUUAGACAAUGGGGGCAAGCCUGAUCCAGCCAUACCGCGUGGGUGAAGAAGGCCUUCGGGUUGUAAAGCCCUUUUGUUGGGAAAGAAAAGCAGCAGGUUAAUACCCCGCUGUUCUGACGGUACCCAAAGAAUAAGCACCGGCUAACUUCGUG
RNAcentral lists this ribosomal RNA (492 nucleotides) under uncultured bacterium. Its description in RNAcentral is "partial 16S ribosomal RNA". It matches the Rfam family "Bacterial small subunit ribosomal RNA", at positions 29 to 507 of the family's 1533-position model. The record is from RNAcentral.